GAAGUGUCAGACUCUGAGUUAUAGAAUCGACUGGAACCAGUGUAACUGCACUGGGAGCAGAGCGGUGGUUGUCCUGAGGCGUAAACUGACAGUAUGUCAACAAUGCUCUUGUUUCCUUCACUUGGACUAAUGAGCUGCUCGUUGACAGAUGAGAUGAUGUGAUGACUAAAGACAGUAAAACGAAUCCAGAGGCUGUAGUGGCUGAAUGCUGGUUCUGUUCUGGUGGGAAUAAAAUCAAUUAACAGUUUGUGUGAUUGGUGUUUGUUUGUGUUCUUUUCCACAAGUGACGUGUUGUUGUCUUUUUGUCCUCAAGGACCCAGAGACUCGGGACAUGGAGGACCCGGCUUCAUGCAGGACCAGGAUAACUCUGACAACAACACCAUCUUCGUACAAGGCCUGGGAGACGACUACACGGUCGAGUCAGUGGCCGACUUCUUUAAGCAGAUUGGAAUCAUUAAGGUCAACAAGAAAACGGGUCUCCCAUGAUCAACCUGUACACAGACGAGGAGGCAGGGGA
Molecule: long non-coding RNA, 517 nt
Organism: Hippoglossus stenolepis (Pacific halibut)
Lineage: Eukaryota; Metazoa; Chordata; Actinopteri; Pleuronectiformes; Pleuronectidae
Exons: 3
Source: RefSeq, a predicted model, not a curated record